CUGAGCUGUGCAGUGGAGCUGGGGAGACAUGCUCAGGAUUUCCUGAGGCAUGAAGAUGGACUUUAAAUAACAGCCAUGUGAUGGGCAAGAUCUUAUCUUGGGUUAGAGCUACCUGGCAACUGUGAAGUGGUGAUCUGCCCAGAAUCAGGAAUGCUUACCCACUGGAGGCAUUUCAGCCCUACAAAAAAAAAAAAAAAAAAAGAAAAUAAAAGAAAAGAGCAG
Molecule: long non-coding RNA, 222 nt
Filed under: Gallus gallus (chicken)
Lineage: Eukaryota; Metazoa; Chordata; Aves; Galliformes; Phasianidae
Source: RNAcentral